GGUCCUAGGGACGCAGCAGUGAGGAAUAUUGGUCAAUGGGCGAGAGCCUGAGCCAGCCAAGUCGCGUGAAGGAUGAAGGAUCUAUGGUUUGUAAACUUCUUUUAUAUGGGAAUAAAGUGAGGAACGUGUUCCUUUUUGUAUGUACCAUAUGAAUAAGCAUCGGCUAACUCCGUGCCAGCAGCCGCGGUAAUACGGAGGAUGCGAGCGUUAUCCGGAUUUAUUGGGUUUAAAGGGUGCGUAGGUGGUUAAUUAAGUCAGCGGUGAAAGUCUGUGGCUCAACCAUAAAAUUGCCGUUGAAACUGGUU
This 305-nucleotide ribosomal RNA is filed under the name uncultured bacterium. RNAcentral describes it as "bacterial SSU rRNA". It matches the Rfam family "Bacterial small subunit ribosomal RNA", at positions 335 to 638 of the family's 1533-position model. The record is from RNAcentral.